GUGCUUGUUUCAGCAGCACAUAUACUAAAAUCAGAAUAAUACAGAGAAGAUUAGCAUGGCCUCUGCAUAAGGAUGACAUGCAAAUUCAUGAAGCAUUCCAUAUUUUU
Small nuclear RNA from Callithrix jacchus (white-tufted-ear marmoset), 107 nucleotides. The record is from Ensembl. Lineage: Eukaryota; Metazoa; Chordata; Mammalia; Primates; Cebidae.